AUUGAACGCUGGCGGCAUGCUUUACACAUGCAAGUCGAACGGCAGCACGGGUGCUUGCACCUGGUGGCGAGUGGCGAACGGGUGAGUAAUGCACCGGAACGUAUCCAAUAAUGGGGGAUAACGCACCGAAAGGUGUGCUAAUACCGCAUACGCCCUGAGGGGGAAAGCGGGGGAUCGUAAGACCUCGCGUUAAUGGAGCGGCCGAUGCCGGAUUAGCUAGUUGGUGAGGUAAAGGCUCACCAAGGCGACGAUCCGUAGCUGGUCUGAGAGGACGACCAGCCACACUGGAACUGAGACACGGUCCAGACUCCUACGGGAGGCAGCAGUGGGGAAUUUUGGACAAUGGGCGCAAGCCUGAUCCAGCCAUUCCGCGUGAGUGAAGAAGGCCUC
RNAcentral lists this ribosomal RNA (390 nucleotides) under uncultured bacterium. RNAcentral's name for it is "bacterial SSU rRNA". It matches the Rfam family "Bacterial small subunit ribosomal RNA", at positions 30 to 418 of the family's 1533-position model. The record is from RNAcentral.